This is a non-coding RNA of Ornithorhynchus anatinus (platypus), 137 nucleotides long. The record is from Rfam. NCBI's taxonomy places the organism in Eukaryota, Metazoa, Chordata, Mammalia, Monotremata, Ornithorhynchidae.
CUCCUCUCAAGAUUGCACUUGGAAAGUUUCCAGUACUCUACCAGUCUCAGCUUUGGGAGGGGAAUCAAGCAGUGGCCUACCCAUUCCAUUCCUAGCUUGGGCAGUGGCUAGUGAGUGGAAGACAAUCUGCUACAAAU